Long non-coding RNA from Pongo pygmaeus (Bornean orangutan), 4193 nucleotides. RefSeq lists it as uncharacterized. NCBI's taxonomy places the organism in Eukaryota, Metazoa, Chordata, Mammalia, Primates, Hominidae. The transcript has 2 exons. The record is from RefSeq and is a predicted model, not a curated record.
AUUAAGAAUUUUUAAAUUUAAUUUUAAGUGAAAAUCCAGCAUUGAUUUGGUUGUAAUUUUUAACUUGGUCUGUAGGUUUAUUUUAUCAUAUAGUUAAUUCUAUUUUGGAUAUUCCAUAGUUGUACUGCAUUUGAAAGAAACAACAUAAUGAGUUAGUCAUUUGUUAUGUGUACUUUGUGUCUAUCCCUGUGUUCACGUUCUAGAGUAUAGCCAUCUCUGUGACCUACCAAACAUCUCUGUAUCUCAGUUCAGUUUUUCUACGUAGCACUGUAAAGCAUUGUCAUGGAACUUCCUGUUAUUUAUAGAGACAAAGUUACUGGCUCUGAUCCUGCCAUGAGUUGUGUUACUCAGAGAUCUUAUUCUGUUACUGCAGCUGCCAAUAAUCUAGCUUAACUGUAUUUUGAUAUUUGAUUCUUUAUAGAACUUCAGUUUAUGCAAAAUUUGAAUAUAUUUAGGCAGAAAGUGAUAUUUUGAAUAUAGCAAAAUUCCUUUCUAUCCUGGGUAGAUAAGCAACUAUAUGCUGGAUAAUUGAAUAUUCAGAAUUAUGGAUACCAUCUAAGAAUUUCAGAGAAUUAGAGCGCACUAAAACAUCCUGGGAUGAUGGCUAUUCCUUGCUGAAUUUUUUUUCAGCAACCUUUUAAUAUAAUGACUAGCAGUUUACAAACAGAAGCAUGUGAUUUUCAGAACUAUGUAAAUAUUAACCUGAUUAACCACAACUGCUGGGUUUUGCUUUGGUAGCAGUACUCACUGAAAUAUGUUUUCAGUUAAAAAGGUUAGUUCACUGUUGGGUAAGUUACAAGAAGGAGUCAAAGAUUAUAAAAAUCCACCCAAAGUACGGGUAUUGUCUUGUACCUAAGUAAGCACAUAAUUUAGAUGCCAGCUUUAAAUAGUUAACUAUAUGCUUACUGUGGAGUGCACCAAUGAAACAACUCAUUUUGUUCUUUUGGCUUCUCAAUACUUCUUUGUGACAAAGCAUCACUGUAUAAGAUAAAUAGUAGCUUAUUUUGUGAGUAUGGUUGCUCUAUGUAGCAAGCAGUUGUGACCCAAAGCAACCCAUAAAUUACAGAUUUAGUGGGAGAACUGGACAGUUAACAACGUCACUUUUGCUUUGGACUACUACUUAGGUCCCUUAAAGUGGUGCCAGUGCCACAGAACUGAAGAUUCCUGACUUUGUAGGGAAUAUACCAUCUAAUUUUAAGUUUCAAUAGAGUAACUUUGAUUUUUAGUGAGUUGUUGGGAAAUCCUUUAGAUCAUUAGUUAUGCAGCAAAAUUGCUUGGUUUUAAUAAUCAUAUGUACUGGCUUAUUCUUUCUGAAGGUAAGCUACUUCGGAAGCACAACUAUUGACUAAAAACUAAACCUUCGAAAGAAAUGACAGCAUUGCUAGUUUUUUGUGUGCGUGGUUUUUUUUGGCGGGGGGCGGGGGGUACUAUAUUAAGGUUAGUUUCCAACAAGAAUUGAUGCAGUUGGAAGAAAUUGACUUCCUUACGUAUUGCCUCUGAUAUUUACUUGCUUAAAUUUUUUUUUUAUUGGAAAUGGAGUUGGCAGAAAAAAUGGAUUUAGAGAACAACACUAACUCCCACCUAAUCUAUGACAGAGAUGUAGAAGAGAGUACCUGUUAAAAAUUGUGGAAGUAUCUUAAAAAUGUAACCUUUGGCAGCCUGAGCAUAAUCAACCAGAAAAACUAUCUGAAUUAAAAUAAUUGGUCCAUAGGUACUAUUUUAUUUGGUCCAUAAGGAUUAUUUUUUCAACUUUUAUUUCAAGUGUGUUAUGUCAUUUCCAACAUAGGUUACUGAUACCUGAAGACUUUUUCCAUCUUUACCUUACUCGUUUAGGGGCUUUGUAGUCUAAUAAAAGAUAAAUCUUAAGUAAAUGUUAGAUAUAUGGGUGGAUAAUGGUAACUAUGUGCUUAAAGAGGUAUAAAAGAAGGGUAGGGAGCAGAUAAGACAAAGGAAGGGCUAUAUUAUAAGGAAGAAUAUUCCAAGUAGGGGAGAGAAAAAGAUAUGUUACCCAUGUAAUAUUUUAUGUGCAGUAGAGAACAUGUUCUAUAGAAGAGACAGAAGAUGAAACUAGAUGGGCACCCAGAUCAUAAAGCACCGUAUGUACUUAGGAGUUGGAAUUAUCUUAAAAACUAUCGUAGAUUUCAAGCAGGGGAGUAACAUUUUUAAAAGACCACUUCAUCAUUAGGAUGGAGGGAUAAUCAUUAGUAAGCUAUUGCCAUAAUCUAGGCUGAAGAUACAUCGUGAACUAAGAGAGUAGUGACAGUGGACGUAAAGGAGAGGCUAAUUCAAGAAAUUUUAAAUAUCUUACUUGAUAACUGUCUUGACUCUGAGAUGAGAGAGGAAGAAGUCGAUGAUGAGAUCCUGGUUUAUGGCUUUCAGUUAUGGCUUGCUAUUAAUAAACAGGAAAAAAGGGAUUGAGGAGACAAGUUUCAGUUUUGGACGCAUGAGAUGAGAUAUCCAAGUAGAAAUAUCAGUAGGCAUUUGAAUAUAUGCCCUGGAAUGAAUAACUGCACCAGAGAUAUAUUUUGCAACUCAAAUUUUUAUGGGUCGGCAGUUAAGAGUAGAAAAUCAACCUAUAAGAAUACCAACAUUUUUAGCUGGGUGUAGUGGCGCAUGCCUGUAAUCCCAGCUUCUUUGGAGGCUGAGGCCCGAGAAUUUACUUGAACCUGGAGGUGGAGGUUACAGUGAGCCGAGAUGACACCACUACACUCCAGCCUGGGCGACAGCACCACUUAAAAAAAAGAAUACCAACGUUUUAUUGCCACAGAAGAGCUGAGGCACUGUGAGGGAGCAACUUUGCACUGAUGAGAGCAAAACAAGUAGAAGGUUUCUGAAAAAAUCUAAUAUAAAUUCUGGACUUGUAAGAUUUGAGUCGAUUUGCUGAUCACAGUGUUCCUUAUUCUUUGGGGGUUUUGUUUCUUUUUGGUGUAGUUUGCUGCUGAUUCAUAAUAGAAUUUAAAUAUCAUAGGGUCUCAAUUUUUUAUAUGGCCUAGUUUCAUUAUCUCUGAACCUCGUAGUUCUUCCUCUUUUGGUAUGGCAGAACUUUAGUGUUAAAUUGUAACAUUGAAAUAUUUGCCUUCUUUAUAAAGUUCUUUUUUUGAACAAGCGAAACGAAAUUUGGCUUUGCCUAAAUCCCAUCAGCAGAUUGCCUUUAUUCAGAAGCAGUCGUAGACAGCAUUUGAUUUUAUGAAAAUUGAAAUGAAAGCUUACAAAGAACUUCUGGAAUUAGGUUAUUAAAACUUCAAUGUUUGGGGCUGGGCGUGGUGGCUCACGACUGUAAUCUCAGCACUUUGGGAGGCCAAGGUGGGUGGAUCACUGGAGCUCAGCAGUUUGAGACCAGCCUCUCAACUAAAAAGACAAAAAAAACUCCGUCUCUACUGAAAAGACAAAAAAAAUUAGCCAACUGUAGUUCCAGCUCACUCCUGUAGUUCCAGCUACUCAGGAGGCUGAGGUGGGAGAAUCACCUGAUCCCAGGAGGCAGAGGGUUACAGUGAGCCAAGAUUGUGCCACUGCACUCCAGUCUGGGCGACAGAGCAAGACCCUGUCUCAAAAAGAACAAAAACAACCAUAUAACUAUUUAACAAAGAUACGUUAAUCUAAUAAACUCAGGUCACAUUCUAAGUGACCUGAGUGUUUUUCUAGUUCCAUAUUUUGUAAAAAUAUGAAAAAGGGCUGGGCACAGUGGCUGAUACCUGUAAUCCCAGCACUUUGGGAGGCUGAGGCAGGUGGAUCACCUGGGGUCAGGAGUUAGAGUUCAGCCAACAUGAUGAAGCCCCAUUGCUACUAAAAAUAAAAAAUUAGCUGGGCACGUUGGUGCACACCUGUAAUCCAAGCUAUUGAGGCAGCUGAAGCAGGAGAAUCUCUUGAACCUGGGAGGCGGAGCUUGCAGUGAGCUGAGGUCACACCAUUUUACUCGAGCUUGGGCAGCACACAGCAAGAUGAGAUUCUGCGUCUCGUUUGUCCCCCUUCCCGUUCCCAUUCCCCCCGCCCUCCACCCCCACAAAAAAAAAAAAAAGGAAAGACUUGGGAGUUGGAGAAGGACUCAAUUUAAAUAAGCUCUGGCUGGGUACGGUAGCUCACGCCUAUAAUCAGCACAUUUUGGGAGGCCAAGAUGGGUGGAUCACAAGGUCAGGAGGCCGCAAGACUAGCCUGGCCAACACGGUGAAACCCAGUCUCUACUAAAAAUACAAAAA